GACGAACGCUGGCGGCGUGCCUAUACAUUCAAGUUGAGCGGCGAAGGGUGGUACUUGUUCCAACUGGAUGAGCCGCCAAAGGGUGAAUUACCCGUGGGGAAACUGCCUUUUAGCGGGGGACCACAUUUGGAAAAGAAUGCUAAUAACCCAUUAAAACUUUAAACACAAGUUUUAAGUUUGAAAGAUGCCAUUUCAUCACCCAAAGAAUAUUCCGCGUUGUAUUAGCUUGUUGGUGAGGUAAAGGCCCAACCAGGCGAUGAUACAUAACCGUCCUGAGAGGGUGAUCGGCCACAUUGGGACUGAGACACGGCCCAAAAUCCUACGGGAGGCAGCAGUAGGGGAUCUUCGGCAAUGGACGAAAGUCUGACCGAGCAACGCCGCGUGAGUGAAGAAGGUUUUCGGAUCGUAAAACUCUGUUGGUAGAGAAGAACGUUGGUGAGAGUGGAAAGCUCAUCAAGUGACGGUAACUACCCAGAAAGGGACGGCUAACUACGUG
This 496-nucleotide ribosomal RNA is filed under the name uncultured bacterium. RNAcentral's name for it is "partial 16S ribosomal RNA". It matches the Rfam family "Bacterial small subunit ribosomal RNA", at positions 28 to 507 of the family's 1533-position model. The record is from RNAcentral.